AUUGAACGCUGGCGGAAUGCUUUACACAUGCAAGUCGAACGGUAGAGGGGGCAACCCCUUGAGAGUGGCGAACGGGUGAGUAAUAUAUCGGAACGUGCCCAGUCGUGGGGAUAACGUAGCGAAAGUUACGCUAAUACCGCAUACGAUCUAAGGAUGAAAGCGGGGGAUCGCAAGACCUCGCGCGAUUGGAGCGGCCGAUAUCAGAUUAGGUAGUUGGUGAGGUAAAGGCUCACCAAGCCAACGAUCUGUAGCUGGUCUGAGAGGACGACCAGCCACACUGGGACUGAGACACGGCCCAGACUCCUACGGGGA
RNAcentral lists this ribosomal RNA (312 nucleotides) under uncultured bacterium. RNAcentral describes it as "bacterial SSU rRNA". It matches the Rfam family "Bacterial small subunit ribosomal RNA", at positions 30 to 347 of the family's 1533-position model. The record is from RNAcentral.